Molecule: long non-coding RNA, 3850 nt
Organism: Cavia porcellus (domestic guinea pig)
Lineage: Eukaryota; Metazoa; Chordata; Mammalia; Rodentia; Caviidae
Exons: 3
Source: RefSeq, a predicted model, not a curated record
GGCUGCGAUGCUGUUCCCGGAGUGGCUCUGGAAACCCACCAUGACCUUGUGUACCCAGAGGAACGUUUGGGCCAACCAACACUGCUUUCUCAAAAUGUACCUGGAUUAUUUGAUUUGUAUACACUUUGCAUUGGCUCCAUAAAUGUAUGCUGCUUAGGAUGCUGGAAACAAAAAGUUAUGUCACCCUGCUUUGGAGCCAGCUGAUUGUAGACUGAAACCUCCACAAACUGUGAGCUAAAAAGAAAGAAAGUAAAGCCAACAGGACCUUCUGACAUCCCCUCCCCUCUUCCUACUGUGUUGGGAGCCACUGAAACUGGAAAUUGACCACAUGUGCAAGGCUGGAGCAUGACCAUCCCAAGAACAAAGAGCGCCCAGGGCAAGCCAUGUGAAGAAGCUGCUUCAGCCCAGAAAACACCCAGCUGGUGCUGAGAUCCUGGAGUUGAGUACACCUCUAGUUUCUGUGAUUUCUUACUGAGAGCUGCAAAGGAUCCUCAGACACCCUUAAGCAUCGCAAUGGAGCAGCCGUGAACCACUGCCAGUCCUCCAUGCAAUUUUGCCUUGUAGCCAAAUGAGUAUGAACUGAAAUCUCCAAACUAUAAGAAAUAAUCCUUCUUGGGUCGGGUCCAGAAGAACAUGGCAGAUGGAUAGCAGCAGCCUCUGAGGCUCUCUGAGAAACUGCACUUGAAAUCUAGGAAUGGUGCUGGGCAGGAAGUCCCAGGCAAGAGGGGAUAUUCUUUGCUGACCCAGGAAUGAACUAAAUUAAGAGAAACCAUCUGGAAAUGCAAUCCCGGUGAUACAGCAGGUACAGAUAAGGACUCAGCACGGAAGCCAGACCCGUGCCACUGGAAACUUCGAUUUGAAUUACCUGCAGCCGCUGUUGCGUCCCAGUCGGCACAGCAGGGAGAGAGGUGCAAAAGCUUGGAGAGUGGGAAGCAUUGAAAGGAGUUGGGAGUGGGACUGGCUGGGUGCCCUGCAUCAACCAGCAGUGAGUGAGCAGAUCAGGACCCUUCCAUAGAGAAGGAGGCUUCAACAGAGGACAUACUCAGACCGGGCAGACUUCCCAGAACAAGAUGCUGCAGUGACUUCAGUCACAUAUCCCCCUCUCAAGUGGGAUUGGUGGGGAGUGCCUGGCCUACGAGACGCCGCUGGCUGAGACCCAAUAGGCUAGCCCAACUCAGGUCCCAGCGCCUGGAGGUGCACCCUAGUGGUGAAGCCUUCAUAGGUUGACCUGGAGGGGCAGGCCUGGCAUAGACUGCCCAGGUCUGUGUCUCCCUGCUGCCACUGCGGUGGGUGGGAACACCUAGCCAGCGCAAUUCAAACAGACUGUGACCAACAGGGAAGGAAGCUGGGCCUCCUAUACAUGUUUAACUAUAAGAAACAAAGAAUAUGGGAAGAGGGAGCAACAAGAAACGGUCCUCAGGCCCCAAUCCUGAGAAACAUGCAAUAGCAGACAUGGCACCAAUAGACAUAAAACGCUAUCUCCAGAGCCUCAUAGACGAGUUCAGGAAUGAAGUUAUUAAUGACCUGAAGCAAGACAUAAGCAGAAUAGUUAGAGAAAUGCUAAGCAUUGCCCAAGAAAAAACAGAUGGUGGAACGGAAGAACAGAAAAAAAGGGGAGAAUUGUUUGAUGGAGAAGAUAGAGAAAACAUAGAAUACAUAAAGCAGGUUCAAAGAGAUUACCAGGAAAUUAAAAACUCUAUCGAAAACUGGCAUAACAGCUUGAAAGAAACUAAGGACAGAUUAUCUGAACUGGAGGGCAGAUUUGUAAUAUGGGAGCAUGAAAUGAAAAACUUCUUAAAAAUAACAACAACAACAAAAAAAAAAAAACCAAACAGCAACAAUACAAAAACUAGAAGAUGAUAAGAGGAUCUAUAACUUAAGAAUUAAGAACAUAAGAGAAGAAGUAGGGACACAAACAAAUGGACUACAAAAGCUUUUCACAGAAAUAAUCCAAGAGAAUUUCCCUAAUUUGGUAAAUGGUAAAGAUACUCAGAUAUAUGAGGCGUCAGGACUCCAGCCACCUCCAACCCAAAUAGAGCUAUACCCAGGCAUAUAAUAAUCAAAAUUCCAGAAAUCCAAUAUAAUAACAGAAUAUUAAAAGCCGUCAGAGACAAGAAACAGAUCACUUACAAUGGAACACCCAUCAGAAUUACAGCAGACUUCUCGGCACAAGCCAUCAAAUCAUGAAAAGCAUGGGGGGGGGGAAAUAAUUCAAGCUUUGAAAGAUAAUAACCUCCAGCCAAGAUUGAUAUAUCCUGCACAACUGUCGCUAGAAAUUGAUGGAAAAACAAGGUGCUUCCAGGAUAAAGAGGAACUAGGGGAAUUUGCAACCACUAAUUCAACUCUACAGAGAAUACUGCAGGAUAGUCUAAAAAAGGAAAACACCAAGAUUCUAGAAAGAGUGGCAGAGAGGCCACAAUGAAUGGAGCAGAAAACAAAAUGAAGAAGACAAACUGACAACAAAUGACAGAAAAACAGCUCAACAGAAAUGAGGCAGAGAAGAUCAGAAGGUAGGAACAGCAAUUUUGGAGAAAACAAAACAUCAUAAUAGCUAGUGCUGAUUUAGUAUCCUCUUGUUUUGAAGUCUCAUCAAACGUGUAUACUUUUGUCUCCAUUGGUCUUAAGAGGUUAUUGGAUUUUAUUAUAUAUGAUAAUAUAAGCAAAAACUUUUAUAGACAAGGAGUUUAUGUAGAAACCAUUGUUCAUCUUCUGUUAAUUGGUUCUGAAUACCCUGUAAUAAUGUCAUUCUCUUAAAUGGUUUUAUAGUGUCUUGAUAUGUUUGGUGCUACAGUAUAAGAAGUUAUACUCAAAGAUUUCAAGGAAAGAGACACUAUGGUAACUAUUUUUAUGUCAGGAUAUCUUGUGGUGAAACACUAUUUUGCUUAAAUGGUUAUGAUUUGACCUGCGCUGUUCUGUUGUUAUGCUCUCUUUUAUCUCAAUCCCCCUUUUUAAAAUUAUUUACUUUUUUAGUUAAGGGAAAAAUAAAUAAAAAAUAGCAGGAUACAUUAUAGUAACCUACUUCGAUUUCCUAUUAACUUCAUUUGAAAUCCUGUAUUGCCCUGACCAUCUUGUUUUGACUGAUUUUCUCUAUUCUGCUUUGCUUGAUAGUACCAAGUUGGAAAGUAUAGGCAUAACUGUGAAAACAAUAAGAAUCAUUAUGACGCCCAUUCUGGUUGACUAUUAUUUUCUUUUAAAAUCCCGUAAUGUCUCCAAUGCUUUGGUUUUAUUCUUUACUGUUUAGUUCAAUUUUAUUAUAACUGCCAAUUCUUCUUAAAAUAGCAAGAGGCAAUAUGGUAAUCAUUGUUGAUCACCUUAUAUUUUGUUUUUACAUUAUCUAUUAUGUCCAUCCUUUUGAUUUGACUGACUCUGUUCUGAUAUGUCGCAUUUGGUUUUACUCUCUUCAAAAAAAGUAAUAAGAACUGUGGGAGUAAUAAAACUCAAAAUGUGUAAUUGUCAUUGUACAAAAGAAAAGAAAGUGCUCUAAAGGUUAUAACUGCAUACAUGUUUAAGUGUAUAAGAUAGAUAACCAUAUUACUGAGUGUGUUUUGGAUCAUUGAACAAAACUGUUUGCACUCUCACUGUUUGAAAGUCCACUUUAUAUGCUUCAAUUUUGUAACUUGAACAACUAUUUCUAAGAUGAGAAUAUGUAAUCUAUUAACUAGUGAUUUCUUACUGCUUAUUUUUUAAAUUUUGUAUUACUUGUACCCUUUUUUGUUUUUUUUUUCCUUUUUAUCCUUAAAUUAAAAAAAAUUUCUUUCUUUCUUCUAUAUCCAUCUUAUUUUCUGAAAAGACUGUAGCAUCUUACAAUAGAUGAGGGAAAAAAUCCUGUUGAAACAAUAUUCGGUGAUUA